Molecule: non-coding RNA, 46 nt
Organism: Angiostrongylus costaricensis
Lineage: Eukaryota; Metazoa; Nematoda; Chromadorea; Rhabditida; Metastrongylidae
Source: Rfam
CCAACGGCCCUCUUUAGGGCCACAAUUGGAGUAUAGUGCCUGAACU